UACGUAGGGUGCAAGCGUUGUCCGGAAUUAUUGGGCGUAAAGAGCUCGUAGGCGGUUUGUCGCGUCGGAUGUGAAAUCUCGGGGCUUAACCCCGGGCCUGCAUUCGAUACGGGCUGACUAGAGUUCGGCAGGGGAGACUGGAAUUCCUGGUGUAGCGGUGAAAUGCGCAGAUAUCAGGAGGAACACCGGUGGCGAAGGCGGGUCUCUGGGCCGAUACUGACGCUGAGGAGCGAAAGCGUGGGGAGCGAACAGG
This 253-nucleotide ribosomal RNA is filed under the name uncultured bacterium. RNAcentral describes it as "partial 16S ribosomal RNA". It matches the Rfam family "Bacterial small subunit ribosomal RNA", at positions 524 to 776 of the family's 1533-position model. The record is from RNAcentral.